GAUGAAGAACGCAGCGAAAUGCGAUAAGUAGUGUGAAUUGCAGAAUUCAGUGAAUCAUCGAAUCUUUGAACGCACAUUGCGCCCCUUGGUAUUCCAUGGGGCAUGCCUGUUCGAGCGUCAUUUGUACCCUCAAGCUUUGCUUGGUGUUGGGUGUUUGUCCCGCGUUGCGCGUGGACUCGCCUUAAAGCGAUUGGCAGCCGUCAUAUUGGCCUUGGAGCGCAGCACAUUUUGCGCUUCUAGUCAUGAAUGUUGGCGUCCAUUAAGCCUAUACUUUUGCUCUUGACCUCGGAUCAGGUAGGGAUACCCGCUGAACUUAAGCAUAUCAAUAAGCGGAGGA
RNAcentral lists this unclassified non-coding RNA (337 nucleotides) under soil metagenome. RNAcentral's name for it is "partial contains 5.8S ribosomal RNA, internal transcribed spacer 2, and large subunit ribosomal RNA". The stretch from base 1 to 120 matches the Rfam family "5.8S ribosomal RNA", at positions 35 to 154 of the family's 154-position model. The record is from RNAcentral.